UACGUAGGGUGCGAGCGUUAAUCGGAAUUACUGGGCGUAAAGCGUGCGCAGGCGGUUUGUUAAGACAGAUGUGAAAUCCCCGGGCUCAACCUGGGAACUGCAUCUGUGACUGCAUCGCUGGAGUACGGUAGAGGGGGAUGGAAUUCCGCGUGUAGCAGUGAAAUGCGUAGAUAUGCGGAGGAACACCGAUGGCGAAGGCAAUCCCCUGGACCUGUACUGACGCUCAUGCACGAAAGCGUGGGGAGCAAACAGG
This 253-nucleotide ribosomal RNA is filed under the name uncultured bacterium. RNAcentral's name for it is "partial 16S ribosomal RNA". It matches the Rfam family "Bacterial small subunit ribosomal RNA", at positions 524 to 776 of the family's 1533-position model. The record is from RNAcentral.